Molecule: ribosomal RNA, 450 nt
Filed under: uncultured bacterium
Lineage: Bacteria
Description: bacterial SSU rRNA
Rfam family: Bacterial small subunit ribosomal RNA
Source: RNAcentral
GUGGGGAAUAUUGCGCAAUGGGGGAAACCCUGACGCAGCAACGCCGUGUGAGUGAUGAAGGCCUUCGGGUCGUAAAACUCUGUCAGGUGGGAAGAAUUUCUGUUUAUAAAUAAUAUACAGAGGUGACGGUACCGCCAAAGGAAGCACCGGCUAACUCCGUGCCAGCAGCCGCGGUAAUACGGAGGGUGCUAGCGUUGUUCGGAAUUAUUGGGCGUAAAGAGCGUGUAGGCGGUCUAAUAAGUCAGAUGUGAAAUACCUUGGCUUAACCAAGGAAGUGCAUCUGAAACUAUUAGUCUUGAGUACUGGAGAGGAGAGUAGAAUUCCCAGUGUAGAGGUGAAAUUCGUAGAUAUUGGGAGGAACACCGGUGGCGAAGGCGGCUCUCUGGACAGAUACUGACGCUGAGACGCGAAAGCGUGGGGAGCAAACAGGAUUAGAAACCCUUGUAGUCC